Long non-coding RNA from Onychostruthus taczanowskii (white-rumped snowfinch), 1467 nucleotides. RefSeq lists it as uncharacterized. The transcript has 5 exons. The record is from RefSeq and is a predicted model, not a curated record. NCBI's taxonomy places the organism in Eukaryota, Metazoa, Chordata, Aves, Passeriformes, Passeridae.
CCACAGUCAAGAUGUUCCUUCCUGGUGCAGUUGCAGGAUCUGAUAAAUAAAAGCAGCAGACGACUUUUAGUGAAGGAUUUUGGAUUCUGGACCUCAUGUCACUAACCCAGAGUUGAAAAUCCUCAGAGACAUGAUUCUGCCAUUCAGACAACAGCACGUGUCAAGCAUGAACAAAAUGACUAUAGGAUGACAGUGAUUUCCCAUUAAGUUUUCCCGGGAGCAACUACAAAGCCAAACUAUAGUGUUGUAUGAAACAGGCCACUUUACAUUCCAGCAGACCUCCUCACUUGGUAUUGUUUAUGCAAAUAUACCCUCUUUUCAAAAAGCGUCUGGCUUCAGAAAAGGCCUGGCAGUGGAGCACAAAAGCGAAGUUGUACAGCAGCUACCAGACCUGAAAAGACAGGCUGAAUGGAGCAAUGGAUGCAAUAUGCAGUCGGCCAGACAAACAGAAGAACCAUUCUUUUCUGGGUAGCAGUGGUGUGUGGAGAAGGCAGCCUAUCCCAGAGGGAGGAAGAAAAGGCCUUGAGAGAAUAUGAAGUAUCAAUGAUCUGAACAUUUAAAGAAAAAUCCUGAGUGUGUCCUUUUAUGGGAAAGUUUGGAUAACAGCAUGUUUAACCCUAUAUUCAUUUUGUCUCAGAUGUUGCAAAUUACUGCCGAGAAAAUAAACUAUCCAAGGAAAAAUAUUUCAGUGAGCAUACAGGAGGCAAAAAGCUAGCUAGCUAGCCAGACAGAGAGAUAGAUGGGUGCAUUUGGAUCUAGCUGAUGGGCAGCUAGGAUAAAGGACUUGGUUUCGAAAUAUUUCCUUGAGAUAGGAAAAAAAAACAUCAAAGGGCAAGGGCAGGGAAUAGAUAUUUCUUGUUAAUUUUUUUCUAGUGGAUAUCUCAUUUUAUCAUAUUGGUUAUGCAAAAUUGUUUUUACAAAGCUGAUUAUCAAUGCAUUAAAAAAAUUUACUAAAAAUAGAAUAGAAAUUGAUAAUAGGACUGGAGAAUAGAAACUGUUUAUCAUCUCAGUGAAUGGCAAUGAAUCUUCUACCAGGAGGCCCACAAACAAGUACAGCAAGGCAAAAAUCCAUGUCCCAGUAGAGAUAAAUAAAUAAACUAAAAAUUGCCAUGUUAUACUACACAUAUUUUUACAGUACACCUGGUUUAAAGAUAAGAAAACACAGCAUAUAGGUAAUUUACAUCUGCUUUGGAACGGUGUGAGAAUCAUUUACUCCAGCAAAUACACUGGUAAACAUCACAGGGAGAUGUGCAACACACACGUGCACACCUUAUGUUGGUGCACUAGCACAUGUGAAUUUGCUCACGCACAUUUUACAUCAGGAAAUGCCCUGUCAAGAGGCUCAGUCUACUGGAUUGGAUAUAUAGUAAACAAUUAACCAAUAGCAUGAGAAUAGGAACCUCAUAUCUGCUGCUUUUUAGGAUCCUGAGACUGGUUAAUGUGGAGCCUCAAUAAAAUGACUGCAUG